Molecule: transfer RNA, 69 nt
Filed under: Pseudomonas fragi
Lineage: Bacteria; Pseudomonadati; Pseudomonadota; Gammaproteobacteria; Pseudomonadales; Pseudomonadaceae
Description: tRNA-Gly
Source: RNAcentral
CAGGUAGUUGUGCGGCAAAACCUGUUUGACCACCACGCUGCGCAGGAUCGAGUCCUGCCAGGCUUGCCA